Molecule: long non-coding RNA, 939 nt
Organism: Meriones unguiculatus (Mongolian gerbil)
Lineage: Eukaryota; Metazoa; Chordata; Mammalia; Rodentia; Muridae
Exons: 2
Source: RefSeq, a predicted model, not a curated record
ACGCGCGCGCACACACCUCCCACCGCUUUGCCCAAAUUAUUUUCGAUCCCGGGAGACUCCGGAUGCCAGACGCGCUCGGCGGCGGCGGCCGUGCCUGAUUCAUUGCGCCAAAGCUGCAGAUGCGACCUCCCGCCUGCGCCCCGUGCCCCGGCCCGCGCUGGGCUGAGCGCGCGCCUUGGAGACGGAAGGGGGGCAAUUUGUAGGCUCUUUCCCCUCCCCACAAAAGGCGGGCCCUAACCCCCCGGGGCCAGGUCCCCUGUCUCCAGCUCCCCGGGCUGCGCUAAUUAGCUUCCUCCGGGGGCGCCACGCGGCGUGAGGGGCGGCAAUUUCCCGGCUGGGCUGCGGGGGAAGCGCUCCUGCCGCCUGGGAAGUGCACGGUCACCAUGGCAACCGCGGAGGAGGUCACGGUAGCUGGGCCCCCGCGCGUCACCCCGCGCCUCGCCGGCUGCAGGCGCCGGGAUUGCGGCCUCCCAGGCGCCGUGGCCCGCGUGGACUCGGCUCCGAGCUCUCUGCCCCCGCUCCGCCCUGCCGACAGCUCGGGCCCCUCCACGGGACUCUGCGGGGUCCCAGCCGGGAAGAUCGCACCUGGGUGCCAGUGCUCUCGGCUACGCUCUGCACCCCCCGCCCACUCCCCGCUUUGGCACGCGGGACUGCGCCAUGUAACACGUGCCCAUCACCAAGCUAGGAACAUGUGCGGCUCUCGCCGAGGGGCUCGCCGCACUUAACAGAUGCCCUGGGGAAUCGACCUAUAUUUGGUGCACAACUCCGCCGUCCUUGCCUCCCAAAAACGAGACCUCCCAUCCCUAAAAGGGCCAGUUAUGGCGUCAGUGCCUAUAGCUGAUCCAGGAGCUGUGUGACUUUUUGGUCAAGUCUCGGCCUUUCUGGGCCUCAGCUUUGCUCGUCAUUAAAAUGGACCUGUAAUGUCGAAAUACUUUGAAA